UGGGGGAUAUUGCACAAUGGGCGAAAGCCUGAUGCAGCGACGCCGCGUGGGGGAUGAAGGCUUUCGGGUUGUAAACCUCUUUCGCUAUCGAACAAGGCCCGCUUAGGGUGGGUUGUGGGUAGGUGGAGAAGAAGCGCCGGCUAACUACGUGCCAGCAGCCGCGGUAAUACGUAGGGCGCGAGCGUUGUCCGGAAUUAUUGGGCGUAAAGGGCUUUUAGGCAGCUUGUUGCUUCUGCUGUGAAAACGCGGGGCUUAACUUCGCUCGUUCAGUUGGUACGGUCAGGCUUGAGUGUGGUAGGGGUGACUGGAAUUCCAGGUGUAGCGGUGGAAUGCGUAGAUAUCUGGAGGAACACCGAUGGCGAAGGCAGGUCACUGGGCCAUUACUGACGCUGAGGAGCGAAAGCAUGGGUAGCGAACAGG
This 420-nucleotide ribosomal RNA is filed under the name bacterium. RNAcentral's name for it is "partial 16S ribosomal RNA". It matches the Rfam family "Bacterial small subunit ribosomal RNA", at positions 355 to 776 of the family's 1533-position model. The record is from RNAcentral.